Molecule: long non-coding RNA, 246 nt
Organism: Pleuronectes platessa (European plaice)
Lineage: Eukaryota; Metazoa; Chordata; Actinopteri; Pleuronectiformes; Pleuronectidae
Exons: 3
Source: RefSeq, a predicted model, not a curated record
CGCUCUCCAGUGACAGCAGUGUUCUGGCCUGGGUCAUGUCAGGCCUGGACUACAUAGCACACAUUGUGCAGCAGAGCGGAGCAACUGGAGUGAAAGUUGUCUCACACUUGGCUUCAGUUUGGUCCUUCUAGAGACCCACUCUGGGACCAAACAGGCCAAUAACAUGCUGGGCGAACACCUCCACAUAGCGUCAGAGAGUCUGAGCAGUGAGAGGAAGUAUCUGCUGAACCGUGUGUCCCAGCUGAG